This is a non-coding RNA of Pelobates cultripes (western spadefoot toad), 474 nucleotides long. The record is from the annotation of a GenBank genome assembly. NCBI's taxonomy places the organism in Eukaryota, Metazoa, Chordata, Amphibia, Anura, Pelobatidae.
AGCCCUGACAUACAGAGUGCCUGAUGUCAUAUCCAGGGGCCCCAUCCUCCCCAACCCUGACAUACAGAGUGCAUGAUGUCAUAUCCAGGGGCCCAUCCUCCCCAGCCCUGACAUACAGAGUGUAUGAUGUCAUAUCUAAGGCCCAUCCUCCCCAGCCCUGACAUACAGAGUGUAUGAUGUCAUAUCCAGGAGCCCCAUCCUCCCCAGCCCUGACAUACAGAGUGCAUGAUGUCAUAUCCUCCCCAGCCCUGACAUACAGAGUGCAUGAUGUCAUAUCCAGGGCCCCAUCCUGCCCAGCCCUGACAUACAGAGUGCAUGAUGUCAUAUCCUGCCCAGCCCUGACAUACAGAGUGUAUGAUGUUAUAUCCAAGGGACCCAUCCUGCCCAGCCCUGACAUACAGAGUGUAUGAUGUCAAGUAUCCAGGCCCCAUCCUCCCCAGCCCUGACAUACAGAGUGCAUGAUGUCAUAUCCAG